GACGAACGCUGGCGGCGUGCUUAACACAUGCAAGUCGAACGGAAAGGCCCUGCUUUUGUGGGGUGCUCGAGUGGCGAACGGGUGAGUAACACGUGAGUAACCUGCCCUUGACUUUGGGAUAACUUCAGGAAACUGGGGCUAAUACCGGAUAGGAGCUCCUGCUGCAUGGUGGGGGUUGGAAAGUUUCGGCGGUUGGGGAUGGACUCGCGGCUUAUCAGCUUGUUGGUGGGGUAGUGGCUUACCAAGGCUUUGACGGGUAGCCGGCCUGAGAGGGUGACCGGCCACAUUGGGAAUGAGAUACGGCACAGACUCCUACGGGAGGCAGCAGUGGGGAAUAUUGCACAAUGGGCGGAAGCCUGAUGCAGCAACGCCGCGUGCGGGAUGACGGCCUUCGGGUUGUAAACCGCUUUCGCCUGUGACGAAGCGUGAGUGACGGUAAUGGGUAAAGAAGCACCGGCUAACUACGUG
RNAcentral lists this ribosomal RNA (468 nucleotides) under uncultured bacterium. RNAcentral's name for it is "partial 16S ribosomal RNA". It matches the Rfam family "Bacterial small subunit ribosomal RNA", at positions 28 to 507 of the family's 1533-position model. The record is from RNAcentral.